RNAcentral lists this ribosomal RNA (293 nucleotides) under uncultured bacterium. RNAcentral describes it as "partial 16S ribosomal RNA". It matches the Rfam family "Bacterial small subunit ribosomal RNA", at positions 334 to 643 of the family's 1533-position model. The record is from RNAcentral.
UGUGCCUACGGAGGCAGCAGUGGGGGAUAUUGCACAAUGGGGGAAACCCUGAUGCAGCGACGCCGCGUGGGCGAAGAAGUAUUUCGGUAUGUAAAGCCCUAUCAGCAGGGAAGAAGAAAUGACGGUACCUGAGUAAGAAGCACCGGCUAAAUACGUGCCAGCAGCCGCGGUAAUACGUAUGGUGCAAGCGUUAUCCGGAUUUACUGGGUGUAAAGGGAGCGCAGGCGGCGCGUUAAGCCUGGUGUGAAAGCCCGCGGCCCAACCGCGGGACUGCAUUGGGAACUGGCGCGCGG